Molecule: transfer RNA, 69 nt
Filed under: Agrilus sp. AGR01
Lineage: Eukaryota; Metazoa; Arthropoda; Insecta; Coleoptera; Buprestidae
Description: tRNA-Gln
Source: RNAcentral
UAUAUUUUAGUAUAUGACGUACAAAAGCUUUUGGUGCUUUAAGAAGCAGUUUAAUUCUGUUAAAUAUAA